CCUACGGGAGGCAGCAGUAGGGAAUCUUCCACAAUGGGCGCAAGCCUGAUGGAGCAACACCGCGUGAGUGAAGACGGGUUUCGGCUCGUAAAGCUCUGUUGUUGGAGAAGCACGUGCGUGAGAGUAACUGUUCACGCAGUGACGGUAUCCAACCAGAAAGUCACGGCUAACUACGUGCCAGCAGCCGCGGUAAUACGUAGGUGGCAAGCGUUAUCCGGAUUUAUUUGGCGUAAAGCGGGCGCAGGCGGUUGCUUAGGUCUAAUGUGAAAGCCUUCGGCUUAACCGAAGAAGUGCAUCGGAAACCGGGCAACUUGAGUGCAGAAGAGGACAGUGGAACUCCAGGUGUAGCGGUGGAAUGCGUAGAUAUAUGGAAGAACACCAGUGGCGAAGGCGGCUGUCUGGUCUGCAACUGACGCUGAGGCUCGAAAGCAUGGGUAGCGAACAGGAUUAGAUACCCGUGUAGUC
RNAcentral lists this ribosomal RNA (465 nucleotides) under uncultured bacterium. RNAcentral's name for it is "partial 16S ribosomal RNA". It matches the Rfam family "Bacterial small subunit ribosomal RNA", at positions 338 to 795 of the family's 1533-position model. The record is from RNAcentral.